AAAGAAAUACAAACAAAAAUUGAAGAAAUGAAAAAAAAUUUUAGUGAGAAAGAAAAAAUAUUGCAACAAAAAAUAGAAAACUUGAUAUAUAAAUUAGAGAAAUUGACAUUUCUGAAAAGGACAAAUCACAGUAAACACAGUGAGUUUGCUUUUGAUGAUUAUAUUUACAAAAGUAAAACACAUGAUGAUAGUACACGUAUUGAUAGUAUACAUAAUGAUAGUAUACAUAAUGAUAGUAUACAUAAUGAUAGUAUACAUAAUGAGAAGGAUAUGACAAAACAUCACACGUUGACAAGUUGUCAGCAUAUACAGAAUGCUAGUGCUGAAUGUGAAGACACUAAAUAUAUCAGUCAGUUACCAACACACAAAUCUUUUAAUGCUCAAUGUCUGUAUACAGAUAAUACACUUUUACCAAGUGUUGACAAUAUUAAUGGUGGAAAGCCUGUACAAAAUAACGACUUCAUAUGUACCAGUAACAGUACAGAUAAUAUGAUAAAUAACGACAUGGUAGAUAGUAGUAUGGUACCUAGUGCAUCAGAAGAAGUUAAAGAUAGAGACGACAACGGAAACAGUAGCAGUAGCAGCAACAGUAAACGCAGUAACCACGAAAUUACUUGCGAACACAACAGCAAAGUCGCUAGUGAAAGUGGAAGUAUUAACGAAGCCAAAACAGGGACAUGGACAGGGCCAGGGAUAGGAACAGGCACUAAUACAAACAACCAUGCAGAGCUAGGAACACAAAUUCCUAUUUAUCCAAACGAAUACAAAAAGAUAAAAAAAAAAUUAGAAACAUAUGAAUUUUUAAUCAAUGAGGAAAAAAAAAAUCAAAAAAAUAUGUUAGAAGAAAUAAAUUAUUUAAGAAACCAAGUAAAAAAUUAUGAAUCAUUAUGCGGUAAUUACGAACAUGUAAUGUACCAAAAAAAUAUUAUUUUUAAUUUUGUGUCACAAAUACCUACUAAUAUUAAGAUUGACGAUUAUGUUUCGGUUAUUUAUAAUUCGUUUAAUUUUUCCUCUAAAGAAAUUGAAAUGAUAAAUGAAAAGCGUUCGAAAAAGUAAUUGUUUCGUGUGUUUUGGUAAGUACGUUUGAAACGGAGUGAA
Molecule: long non-coding RNA, 1098 nt
Filed under: Piliocolobus tephrosceles (Ugandan red Colobus)
Lineage: Eukaryota; Metazoa; Chordata; Mammalia; Primates; Cercopithecidae
Description: lncRNA (ENSPTEG00000010555.1)
Source: RNAcentral